GACCAGUCCUGAGUGAUACUCUUCCCUUCAGUCACUCCCUCUAUCACACCAUAUUAGUCUCUUCCUCUUCGUGGUGGGGAAAAGGAGGGCGUGAUCACACCUCUGUUUAGAACAACAAAAUUCCCCACUUGAUCCCACCCAGAAAGUGCAUGGUCUUUGAAUCAUUGAGGUUUCACCAUCUUGAGACUUCAGACAUCACCUAGUUUCAUAUUACACAAUGAGAUCAUCGGAUCGCCAAGAAUAAUUUAGUUUACAACAAAAACAGUGUUGGAAUAACUCAGCGGCUCAGGCAGCAUUUGUGGAGAACAUGGAUAGGUAACGUUCUUUGUGCCUACAUAACUUAGUUUAUAUUUACUUAAUGUCGACUACGUAGGCACAUGGACUUACUUCAAUUAAGUAGUUUAAAAUUGUAUUGAUUUUCGCUGUUACUCUAAAUAAAUAAAUGAGCUACACUCCAGUCCGUGAAUGACCAACAUAAAAAUCAAAGUGCCAGGAAUGAUCAGCAGAUCAAAGCGAAUCAGGGGAGAGAAACAGUUGGGACAGGUCGAUGACCUUCGGCCAAACAAACGGCAAAAUAGGUCAGUUUUAAAGCACAAAGUGGAGGAGGGGCGAACAAAAAAACCCGAAGGUUUUUACACAAUGCAGUGAGAAAAGAGACGAUUACCAUUUUAAUCGGUGGUGGUGGCACAGCGGUAGAGUUGCUGCCACAGGCGAUUUUUCAGCGGACUGCCGGCGACUCAAGUUGCCGGCAGUCGCCUGAAAAACUGGGAACUGCAACGGCGACUGUCAGAGUGGAACACAUAAACACAUCGCUUCCUUCACCAGCCCUGUCUAAAAAAUUAACACGGUGCAAAUCCAAGGUGAUACAGACACACACUGCGAUGAACAGGAAGGUUGGCGCUGUAAAUAGACGGCUAAAGCACAGUGUACGGAGAGGGGAGAAGAGGGAAUGGCUGGGAUGUGGAUGAUCCUUGGCUACUUUCCUGGGGAAAGUAAUUUGAUUGAAUGGGAGGCUGGUUCGUGUGAAGAACAGGGCUGCAUCCACAACUCUCAGCAAUUUCUUGCGGUAUUGGGCAGCUACCUAACCAAUUUAAGAUGCACCCCAAAAGGAUGCUUUCCACAGGCUUCUUCUGUUCAAGCCGCCGACAACAUGAAGCAGCCGGAGAUAAUACUAACCAGGUGAAUCGGUUGUAAAACAUGGGGAGGACCACAAUGAGGCCAAACAUCUAGGACAGGGUUCGGCAACCUACGGACACGGGUCGUAACCCAAAUAACCUGAACACCCUCC
Leucoraja erinaceus (little skate) is the source of this 1288-nucleotide long non-coding RNA. RefSeq lists it as uncharacterized. The transcript has 4 exons. Lineage: Eukaryota; Metazoa; Chordata; Chondrichthyes; Rajiformes; Rajidae. The record is from RefSeq and is a predicted model, not a curated record.